AACGAACGCUGGCGGCAUGCCUAACACAUGCAAGUCGAACGAGACCUUCGGGUCUAGUGGCGCACGGGUGCGUAACGCGAGGGAACCUGCCCCUAGGACUGGACUAACCUCCCGAAAGGGGUGCUAAUACCGGAUAUUGUCUUCGGCCCAAAGACUUAUCGCCUUUGGAUGGUCCCUCGUUGGAUUAGCUAGUUGGUAUGGUAUAUGCCUACCAACACGACGAUCCAUAUCUGGUCCGGGAGGAUGGUCAGCCACUCUAGUACUGAGACACGGCCCAGUCUCCUACGGGGCACAAAGGUGAAGAAUAUCGCACUACGGGCGAAAGCAUGAGCCAGCAAUGUCGCGUGAGUGAUGAAGGCCUUAGGGUUGUAAAGCUCUAUUAUACGGAAUGAUAAUGGCAGUCCCGGGAGAAUAAGCCCCGGCUAACUCCGUG
This 433-nucleotide ribosomal RNA is filed under the name uncultured bacterium. RNAcentral describes it as "partial 16S ribosomal RNA". It matches the Rfam family "Bacterial small subunit ribosomal RNA", at positions 29 to 507 of the family's 1533-position model. The record is from RNAcentral.